RNAcentral lists this ribosomal RNA (253 nucleotides) under uncultured bacterium. RNAcentral describes it as "partial 16S ribosomal RNA". It matches the Rfam family "Bacterial small subunit ribosomal RNA", at positions 524 to 776 of the family's 1533-position model. The record is from RNAcentral.
GACGUAGGGCGCGAGCGUUGUCCGGAUUUAUUGGGCGUAAAGAGCUCGUAGGCGGUCUGUUGCGUCGGCUGUGAAAACCCGGGGCUCAACUCCGGGCCUGCAGCCGAUACGGGUGGACUAGAGGUAGGUAGGGGAGAUCGGAAUUCCUGGUGUAGCGGUGAAAUGCGCAGAUAUCAGGAGGAACACCGGUGGCGAAGGCGGGUCUCUGGGCCGAUACUGACGCUGAGGAGCGAAAGCGUGGGGAGCGAACAGG